Molecule: transfer RNA, 68 nt
Filed under: fish gut metagenome
Rfam family: tRNA
About the family: Transfer RNA (tRNA) molecules are approximately 80 nucleotides in length. Their secondary structure includes four short double-helical elements and three loops (D, anti-codon, and T loops).
Source: RNAcentral
GGGUGUAGUUCAAUUGGUAGAGCAGUAGACUUCAAAUCUAUUUGUUGCGGGUUCGAGUCCUGUCACCC